ACGCCUAAUACAUGCAAGUCGAACGGGGUAGCAAUACCUAGUGGCAGACGGGUGAGUAACAUGUGGGUAUCUUCCCUUUGGUGAGGAAUAACACGAGGAAACUUGUGCUAAUACCUCAUAAGUCUUUACGGAGAAAGCUUUAUGCGCCAAUGGAUGAGCCCGCACUUGAUUAGUUAGUUGGUAGGGUAAUGGCCUACCAAGACUUUGAUCAAUAGCUGAUUUGAGAGGAUGAUCAGCCACAUUGGGACUGAGACACGGCCCAAACUCCUACGGGAGGCAGCAGUAGGGAAUCUUGCACAAUGGAGGAAACUCUGAUGCAGCGAUGCCGCGUGAGUGAAGAAGGCCCUUGGGUUGUAAAGCUCUUUCGUCGGGGAAGAAAAUGACUGUACCCGAAUAAGAAGGUCCGGCUAACUUCGUGCCAGCAGCCGCGGUAAUACGAAGGGACCUAGCGUAGUUCGGAAUUACUGGGCUUAAAGAGUUCGUAGGUGGUUAAAAAAGUUGGUGGUGAAAUCCCAGAGCUUAACUCUGGAACUGCCAUCAAAACUUUUUAGCUAGAGUAUGAUAGAGGAAAGCAGAAUUUCUAGUGUAGAGGUGAAAUUCGUAGAUAUUAGAAAGAAUACCAAUUGCGAAGGCAGCUUUCUGGAUCAUUACUGACACUGAGGAACGAAAGCAUGGGUAGCGAAGAGGAUUAGAUACCCUCGUAGUCCAUGCCGUAAACGAUGUGUGUUAGAUGUUGGAAAUUUAUUUUCAGUAUCGCAGCGAAAGCGUUAAACACACCGCCUGGGGAGUACGA
RNAcentral lists this ribosomal RNA (793 nucleotides) under uncultured Pelagibacteraceae bacterium. RNAcentral's name for it is "bacterial SSU rRNA". It matches the Rfam family "Bacterial small subunit ribosomal RNA", at positions 44 to 885 of the family's 1533-position model. Lineage: Bacteria; Pseudomonadati; Pseudomonadota; Alphaproteobacteria; Candidatus Pelagibacterales; Candidatus Pelagibacteraceae. The record is from RNAcentral.